GACGGAGGAUGCAAGCGUUAUCCGGAAUGAUUGGGCGUAAAGCGUCUGCAGGUGGCAGUUCAAGUCUGCUGUCAAAGACCGGGGCUUAACUUCGGAAAGGCAGUGGAAACUGAACAGCUAGAGUAUGGUAGGGGCAGAGGGAAUUCCUGGUGUAGCGGUGAAAUGCGUAGAGGUCAGGAAGAACAUCGGUGGCGAAGGCGCUCUGCUGGACCAUAACUGACACUCAGGGACGAAAGCUAGGGGAGCGAAUGGG
RNAcentral lists this ribosomal RNA (253 nucleotides) under uncultured bacterium. Its description in RNAcentral is "partial 16S ribosomal RNA". It matches the Rfam family "Bacterial small subunit ribosomal RNA", at positions 524 to 776 of the family's 1533-position model. The record is from RNAcentral.